Long non-coding RNA from Bombus impatiens (common eastern bumble bee), 2488 nucleotides. RefSeq lists it as uncharacterized. The record is from RefSeq and is a predicted model, not a curated record. Lineage: Eukaryota; Metazoa; Arthropoda; Insecta; Hymenoptera; Apidae. The transcript is spliced from 3 exons.
UGAAACGUAGACUCUUCAAAAAGCAAUCUUAAAUAAUCCGCGGAUGGUUGGUUUCUAUGCGAUAAAUCUUCAUUUUCUAAAGCAUACGAUCGAUCGGAAUGCAAACGACGGCUAAAGAGCGGCACGAUUCUUCGACAUCGCGAUCGAUUUGUAAAACGAUAAAGCUUUCACUGUACUUGUAUAUUUUUUCAAACGACUUUCAAUGCGCAUAGGUUACACACAUUCUCUUGAACGCCAAUUACGGUAUCGACUUUUAUACGAGACUUGCUUUCGUCUUCGUUCGAAGCUAAAGAUCGUCAACAACGCGACUUAGAGAUAAAAGAAGAAGAGAACACGACGACAGAGAAUCGAGGUCGAAGCGAACGAGCAUGUUUUUAUCAUCAUCGACAUACGGAGGUAAAUCCCUGAGAUCUUUUCGUAAAAAGAAGGAAAAAUACAAAAAAAAAAAAAAAAUAGAGAAAAAAAAGAAAUAAACGCUUUGUUACACCGAUCGUACAUAUCACAGUGAAAGGACCACGCGUUGGUAACGACGAGACGUGUAAAAUCUUUCGAUUCGCUACGCAUUUCUAGAUCGCCAUCGAUCAACGAUCAGAAGAAGGAAAUUUCAACUUCCGUAACGUCUUUUCUUCUCGACUUUUUAAUAUCGGGCCGAUCCGUUCAUUCGAAAACGAUCGAGUUCGCGUUCGCAUCGUAUUAAUCGAAAUAAAAAUACAUCAUGCUAAGAACGACGACGGACUCGCGUUGUCACGAUCGAGAAUUACCGUUGUCAUUGUCAUCGUUGUCGUCAUUAUCGUUUCCAUCGUUGUUAUCAGCAGCAGCAAGAAUAUCGAGAGCAAAGAGCAGCCGAACGUACCUUGGAGAAUGGCGAAAAGGCUCCGAUCUGAUACGGACGCUGCUGUUUGCAGAAAUAUUUUUUUACCGUUUAGCGUCAGUCAGCCACCUCAUCUGUUCGUUUUAGAUCCGGCUAGACCUCUCGAACGCGGAUACCUGCACGAAACGGAUCGAUUCCGCGUUCCACGUGCUACCCACACCCCAAAAGAACGUUAAAGACGAAAAGGAAAAGAAAGAAACGUAGUUUCGGGGCAAUUUCCGAGCUUUCCCGCGAGAAUUGUAUCCGAAGCGCGCUUAACGGCACAACGCAUAGAGAGUAGUAAACGAGAAGGAAAAAGGAAAAAGAGGGAAAAAAGAAAAGAGAGAAAACUAGAGACAGGGGAAGAAAAAGGUUGCGUAUUUGUUGCGCGUACGAAUUUCCGUGCCUAUGUCUGUGCGCGCACGUUCAAUUCGUUCGCCCUCGAACUAAUUCCUUUCGAAGCUGUAAAUAACUAAGGAUCGAGUCAAACUUGCGGGUGAAACGAGAGAAAGGCGCGAGAAUGAACGACGAAGGGGAAGAAUUAAUGCAACAAAAAAAAAAAAAGGGAAGAAAAGAGAAAAAAAUUUAACAGAUAUGUACGAAUAAUUGUAUAAAGACUGAUUAGAGUUAUCUUGGUAUUUAUUCUAAUUCACAGUUAAACGCUAUCGCUUUGCGCGCUCUCGAAUACUCACGGAGCACGACACCAAAAGUAUUCCCUGGCUCAGAUUCCAUUUUUCUCUUGUUCUUUGACAUCUGUCUGCGAUUACUCGGUCGCGUUUCCCGUUUCCAUUCGUUCUUCCAUUUGGCAUUUCGCGCGCGAAUCGCCACGAAACGUCGAGUCCUAUUAAUCGCCAAACAAAUCACAGCGGUGCUCGCUUAAAUUUCAAUAAACUAGGAUUUUGUAUCGCGAUUCUCGCGCAAGCAGCGGCAACUUUGUUCUACGAAUACCGUCGAGACGAGCGAAUAGAAUUUCGCUGUCGUUGUCGAUACGCGCGAUUUCCAUUUUUAGUCGCAUAUCGAAACUUUCCUUAAAACGUUCCACGUCUUAUCGCUUGUCGAGACAAGAGUGAGAUUUGCACGAUGAUAUUUGCGGAACCACGGCAGAGUUAAGCGAGCAUUACUGGACCAGCAGCAACCACGAAACGCCGAUCGAUCGUUCGAUGGAUCGAUCGAACGAUUCUUGGUUUUCGUGUCUAAUGAUAAUUUCGUGAUAAUUUGAUGCUCUGUUUGAAAAUAGAACGGGUCAUAUACUCGUAUCGGCCUAUGAAACAUUUUUUCGUCGUACAGACUGGAGAACGCGAAAAGCGAAACGGAAAAAUGAAGAGAAAGGAUAGAAGGAAUAAGGGGAAACGAAAAUCAACGAUCGACGAUCACGAUCCGCGGUAUUUCGAUGAUUUUUGUUUCGUAUCGUUAACGCGUAAUUCAUCCGUAUUCAAGGGAAGAGCCAUCGGAUUAUACAAAACGCGUGCGAACAGAGCAAAGAGAAAAAGAAAAAUGGUACGCGCGAUUAUAACAGCGACGCUACUAUCGUCACAUCGUAUCAAUAUUAUCCGAUGCAUCGUAUAAACAAGUAAACUAGAUGUAAACUUUGUAUAUUCAUUUACCAAGAGAAUAAAGAUAAAUUAUUCGACGUACAUA